Molecule: long non-coding RNA, 6616 nt
Organism: Apis mellifera (honey bee)
Lineage: Eukaryota; Metazoa; Arthropoda; Insecta; Hymenoptera; Apidae
Exons: 3
Source: RefSeq, a predicted model, not a curated record
CAGGCCGCCUAUACGAUGCAGCAAUCUAGCCGCGUUGAUUAGAGUCGUAUGUAGAAUCGAGAACCGGAUUCCAAGAACCUGUUUCCAUGUUCACGUAAGAUCCCCGGAGUAAUCGACUGACGGAUCGGCGACCGUUCGAGUCACCGACCCCGACCGACCGGGACGCCGCCGCCGCCGCCGCCGCUCGCUCCAUCCCUCCGCGAGGCCCACCGGCCUCGGUGAUCGUCGACAGAGUCGUCGUCCCGACGACGGCCUGGGCCUCCUCCUCUUCCUCCUUUGUGCGCGCAUUCCUGCGGGACGCCCGUUCCUUCCCAUGUGCGCCGAGUCUACGCACGUUACGCGUUUCCAUCCUCGACUCGAGAGAUUUCAGAGUGUAGAGGUUUUACGAGAGUAAACGCUUCAGUAUAUAUGGUUGGGAGGAGGGUAAGAGGUUGGCGCGUGGAAGCGUUUGGGGAUCGUUUUAUAUAUAGAGGGAGGGAUUGAUGGAAGGGUGAUGGGGUUAGAAGUGUUUGUUCGCGUUUUCUUGGUUAAGAAGUUGGAGUAUCGUGUUUCUGCAAUCUUUGAAAUUUUCGUAUUGUGAAUGAUAAAAAAAGAGUGAAGUUAUAAAGAAAAAAUCAUCGAAACUGAUGAAUCGAACUGAAAAGAGUUGUGAAAGAAGAAGGGAAAAGAAAAGAUGGCGCCGAUUUAAAAAAAAGAAAGAAAGAAAGAAAGAAACGCGUUCGAUCGCGUUAAUGAAAACGCUGCUCCCUCGUAUAUCUAAAAACAAAAAUGGAGAGUCGUUGGAGAGGGCGCUCCAGUUCACUGGUCAAUUUAACAAACGUCCCCACUUAAAUGGGGAAAUCGGAAUCUACCCGUCCCCAUCGAGGAACGUUGUCUCUUUUUGUCUCGUUUCAUUACACGCGGGUUCGAAACGAGUGGUCUCCUGCAACAGGCCGCUACCAACUAAUAGAUUUUCAUUAUUUUAAGCCGUAAUAUAAUCCGCAAUUACCGCCAGAGUCACGGCAGGUAUACACGUAUCUGCGACUACGUGCAAAUAUGUGGUGGCGAGCCGCUGCAGGCCGCUUUUCAAAAGGCGACACACACACGUCUCCCCUUGCAACCGGGCCUCCUCUAUUAAUAGUCCUUCGUUAAACGUAUAAUGCUUGAAUUAACGGCCAUUUCUGUCCCAAGUCCUGGCUUUAUCAUCCGCGAUUUAUGCAAUGCUUCCCGCGGCUGCCUCAACAAGUUGGCUGUAUCGGAGUAUCCUUGGUGAUUAUGGUGUCUUUGAUUGGGUUUAUUUUUUCUCUCUCUCUCUCUCUUCUCUUUUUAUUUAUCCAUUUUUUUUUUAUUUUUAUGAUAACUGAAGAGUUGUUUUACGUGUUUCAGUAAUCGCGUCCGAGGUGUAAAUUAGUGGCGAAUACUGGUGUUUGUGUUAUGUUAUGUGUAGCUUGGUUGUGAUGAAUUGACAGGAAACGGAUUAAUUGGAUUCUUUGAUAUCUGGGGUUGAUUGGAGCUUUUUUUUAUGAUCUGUGUGAUCCACGUUUUCAUUUGUUUGUUGGUUCUUCUUUUAAAUUAACGCUUCGAAGACGUGGAGGGUGAUUCACACGUUUGAAAGAACACUUUAUUCAAUUUAGGAAACUAUUAAUGUUUAUUGGAACGAUGAAGGAUACUCUUGCAUAGGUAUUUGAAUAUAUUUUAUUCUUUGAUUCAGUUGCAUAGUGUGUGUGUUGAAAUGAAGAGACACAACACAAUUGCAAAUUGUAUUAUUGGAAAUACAAAAUUUAAAUUUGAGAUAUUUUAGAGAAACAUUUAAUACAUCAUGUAUAAUUUGUAUGUGCAAAGCUGAUGACUUUGCAACAGCUUAUAACUUUUUAGGCGAGGUUACAUAACUUUUACAACUCAUUCUAACAUCAUAAGCACUUGUGCAAUUAUUAUUAAGGUGGUAUUCAACGUUUGCAACUGCAAAAAAGAUGUUAUUAGUUAAUAAUAACUUGUACAAAUUUUUUGUGCAAGAAUUCCCCGCUUAUAUAAUCGGAUUCCUAACAAUACAACCCUUUAACAUUUCCUCAAUUAACGAGUGAUCAGGUAGAAAUUAUUUUGCUGAUUUAUUCACAAAAGAAAGAAAGAAAAAAGUACCGAUCAUCGCCAAUUCAUCUUUCAAACGUGUAAAAUCCAUUCCAUUACCAGCAAUUACAUCAUCGUAAAAACAUCUGGUUCACCAGGUCAAAGCCUCCACAACCUUCUCACCUCGGGACCCCUUUCCAUUCAACCGUUCCAUCAAACCAUACGUGUACUUCAUUUCAAAAAGUUCUUCUCUUGCUAUAAGGUAUAGAAAAUUCUUCUUUAUUUUUCUCUCCUACUUCCAUAGGCGAACAAGUGAAACUUUCGUUUCUUUUAUUUCAUUUCUUUCAAUCUUUAUUCCAUUUAUUUCUUUCUCUUGAUUUUCUCUCGCUGUAUAUAAAGCUUGAAUAUUAAAAAUCUAGAAUAUUUUGAAUAUCUUUCUCUCUUUUGACAUCAUUGUACUAUCUCCACAUUUUUAAUCCAAAUAUUUCUUCAAAAUCUCUUCUCAUUUCUUUUCACGCUGAACGAGCUCUUAAAUUCUUCUACACAAUCAAAACACGGAAACAAGUUGGUAACAAAUUGAUAUUAUUAUCCCUAUGUGCAUCCUGUUUCUCGAUAAGCCAAGACAACAUCCAGGACAUAGAAAAUAGAUUAAAAUUCAUAUCGAUGCAACCUCGAUUCGAAAUCUGAAAGAUCGAUAGGAUCCAUCCCGUCGAUUCUCGGCCGUUGACGCCGCUAUUCCAGUGUUUCUGCGUUUCGUGCUUAAGAUCUUGAGAUCUUCGCGCGAUUAUCUCGCGGCGAGAUCUGCUUCUGGAACGAAGAACACCACGAUAAUACCGCGUCCCUGUCUAUCUACGAUUCCAAAGAAGAAGAAGAAGAAGAAAAAAACGCUCCAGCUAACCACUCUGGAAUCCUAUUAAUAGAGCCACUCGCCAAGCGUUUAUUUACACCCGUGGUUCCCGCCUAGAUCCAGUCUAUUAAAUAGCGAUGGUCGUCCAAUAUUAUCUGAACAUAAACCGCUUAUCCCGUGGGAGGGUGUUUUUAAAAUUAAUUAAAUUAAUUUUUUUUACCCGCGUCCGCGUAAACACGUCGAGAAUCGAUCUCUCGGUCGGCUUCCUGGCUGGGAAGACAGGCCGGUGUUACACUCUUUGCUAAUGCGCGGUGCAAAAACAGCGGCUCGAGAUAACGCGGUGUGUUAGUAAAUCUAGGCGAGUUUUAUCCGGGGAGAAGAGGGGAGGGAGGGGAAAAAAAGUGAAAAGAACGAAAUUCCACGCGAUAUUUGUCUGGUCGAGGCCUGAUAACGUCGAGUAACCGAGCCGUUAGAUCGGUGUGUCGUUUCAAGGAUCUGUUUUGCACGGCCGUUUUGCACGUACUUUGCACGGCCUUCUAGGUGCGGGUACAGUAACGGGAUCGUUGAAAUGGUAUGUGCGGGGGAGAGAAAUGUGAACAGUUGUGAAUAAAUUGAGCAGUUGGGAAUGUUGGUUGGUUGGUCGGUCGGUCGGUGUAGGAAAAUCACUUCAUUAUCGCGGUGGUGAGAACGGUUGGUCUCGCCAAGUUUUAUUUUAGAUAUUAAUAAUCGUGUCAAGUGAUACUCGUCCCGACCUUCGUCUAAUUUUAUUAAUCGUAUCUUAUAAUGAAUUUUUUUUUCUUUCUUUCUUUUAAUUUGUCUUGUUUGAAGAAAAAUUCUCACUUCGUAUUAAAGAAAAAAUUGUGGGAUAAGUUAUCAAAAGGAAAAGUUAAAUCUCUUGCUAUACAAAAGUGAAUAUAUAAUACGAGGAGGAGUUUUCCCUUCAUAUGAUUCCACUUUUUAAUCAACGGAAAACAUUCGACUUGUUAAGAGAAGCGUUUUAUUCCCCUCACAAAGCAUUCUUUAAUCGGGACUCUCGCAAAAUCAAUUCAUCGUGUAAAAAGACCACUCGAUUCAGCCGUAUGCACUUCACUAAAUACUGGAGAGGAAAAAGUUGAAAGACAAGGAAAGUGUUAUGUCCGUAACACUCUGAACGGAUCCGAUUUCCCGACAGUCUUCCAUUCGUUCGUAUCGAUCGAACAAAUUCUGGAAUCGAUAAAAGCAUUUUAAAAAAGGACAUUUUCCCUUUCAUAAAACGAUAAAAACUUUCCAUUGAAAUCGCGUUACACGGAGAGACGUCUCCUUCACUUCGUUCACUUUUCCAUCCAAUUUUCGAGACAAAAGGCAAUCCUUGAACGAAUCAUGCGUACACAAUCAAUUGAAGAUCCCCUCGUGCGGGAGGCAAACACAAUUUUACCAUCCGUAUAAUACAUUCUCCACGUUCAAUUGACGAUUUCCACGUGACUCGUCCGCCAUCGAAGAACCGAUCUCGCGACGGUCGGAACAAUAACACGCUUUUAACGCGUGUCGUUGCGCCACUGAACGUCACCGUCCAACCUCGAGAUCUUAUUAUGACGGUAUUCCAUCGCUCGAUGAAUAAACUCGUUGUCCCCUUCCUUUUCUUCUUCGCAAAGAAGCGAGAGUGACGGAAAACGGCGAAAAGAAGGAGAAGAAGAAGAAGAAGAAGGGACAAAAAGACGAGAAAAGUAAUGAAAGAAAGAGGACGAGUGCAGGAGGUGGAGAAGAAAGGUGGAGAUAGGUGGAAAAAAAAAGAAAGGUGGCCCUGUGAGACUGGUCGCCGGAAGAGAGAAGCUCCGACGGACCUCAGUCUUCGGUACUUAUCUUCCCCUCGCAAUCGGUGCAAUAUAUUCAGGGUGCAAAGCGUCGUUGUCGUUCGGUGAAUGGACGUUUUCACUUAAAGUCGCGUUCACUCGGCUCGGACAAAGGGAUCAUUACCCGAGCACCGGGUUCAGGAGAAAGCGAGGCACGCCGUGGCGGACACUUAAAUACGCGGAAUUCACGCCCCGAUCACGUGAAUACGGAAGCGCCGCGCCACGUUGACAAAGCGCACCCCGUGCCCCCCCAAUUAAGGUAGCCCAAUUCCGAGAUAUAGCCUCUACCAUCCCCUCCCCCGCUUUUUUCCGCGAUCACAGAAACGCACGACGUUCAACGUUUCAGCCCGGGACGCGGAGAAAAAGCGCGCCGCUUUGUCAUUGCACCGCCUUAAUUAAGACGCGCGCGCUCGCCGAACUUCUUCGUGGUAACUUCUUCUUGUUUCUUAUUAUGCCGUUCUUCCCGGGCAGUCUUCCUCUCUCUCUCUCCUCCGACGAAACGUAGAAAAUGAAGAUACGAUCUCUACCGAAGAGGCUACCGGCUCGAUUGGUGAGGUUAGAUUUAUCGGCGUGCCGAGCCGGCUCGAUAGAUGGCGUUGGGGAUCACCGUGAUACCUGCUAUUCUUACGAUAAAUUGUCGAGGUUAGUUUUCAUUAGUCACGGGAUAAUGGAUACGUUAAAAGAUGUUCCGAAUAUUUGACGAUGAAUUAAAUAUCUAAUGGUAUUGAGGCGUAAUAGUGGAAUCAUGGGAAAUUGCAAUGAUGGAUAGGGAGAAAUAGUUGGAAAAGUGCAUCUUGAGCAAUCGGAGAUUAAAUAAACUAAUCAGUGAGGAGAAGUGAUAUUGGAAGAAUUUUUAAAAAAUUUAAAUUUGAAUACCAAACAUUCAUAAUACAUUAUUGCCAAUCAACGAAUUUCAAUAAUCGUGUUUUCAAAUAGAAUUCCACGAUGUAUCAACGUGAAGAAUACUCUUGGAUACCAGAAGAAAUUAUUCACGUAGACGAAGAGAUCUCUUUCAUUCUCUGACACACGUGUUCAGGUAUAUACACAAAACAGGUAUCCAACAAACAAACAAGAGUUGAAGUGCGAUAAUGACGUUUGCAAGAUCCUUUGCAAUUUUCUUUUGAUGUCAAACUUCUUAUUACACAUCACAAUGCUAUCUUGGAACGGUAUAAGUUUGAAUCUUUUCGCGACUCUCAAUUUAUCUUCUCCAUUGCAACAGAGCUGCUACUCGUUCUUGUUUCGACGAGGAUGUGUCGCAACCGACAGUUUAACUCGAGAGAGUAUUGUGAAACGUAAUUUCUGCGUAUAAGAGGAACGCGAGUAUAUUGUGUGUAUUAUGCGAACAUGUUUUUGAAACGUGUCGUGUGAUUACAAAUGACUAAUUGUAUUCGGCUAUACUAGUUGAUAGCUGUCUCUUUGAUAUUCUUUGUUGACAGAUUCAGACACACGUAUGUUUCAACAUCUAUAGAAAAUAACACUGGACGUUGAUUGGAUGUUUUAGAAAGGCGACAAAUUCGUGGUAUAUUCUCUUCAACAGAUUGAAUUGAAGAAAAAAUUGUAGGUGAGAAGAGGAUUUUCACAAAAAAAUUUCAAUUAUUAAAUCUUGCAAGUAUAAACAUGAAAUAAUAAAUUAUUAUAAUGCUGAAAAGGGGCUAUAGAGAGACAACUAUAAGAAAAGUAUUUCCUUCUUUUGUUUAGUGAUAUUUAUAGAUGAGAUAUAUCUGGCUAAAUAUUGCCUAAAUAUUGUCUAUUUUUGUAUUGAAUCUAUAUAUCAGAAAUAAUAAAUCAAAUUUAAAUUCUUUCAAAGAAAAUUAUAGCUUUAUAUAUUGAAAAUAAAGCACUCAAAUAUUCAUGCACAUUUUUUAUUAAAAAUGCUUUAUGAGGUAAGAAAUUGUUA